Long non-coding RNA from Prunus dulcis (almond), 532 nucleotides. RefSeq lists it as uncharacterized. The record is from RefSeq and is a predicted model, not a curated record. NCBI's taxonomy places the organism in Eukaryota, Viridiplantae, Streptophyta, Magnoliopsida, Rosales, Rosaceae. The transcript is spliced from 2 exons.
GGCAGAUGUGAAGGAGGCUGCGCCAUAGGCAUCCCCUCGAAAUGCCCGGUUGAAUUGGAGACCUUGCAGGGCUUGGAUUGUGCAUCGAGCACUGAAGAGCUUGGAUUGUGCUUCAAAUACUGAAGUUGUUGUGGCACUGGAACACCAAGGAGUUUGUAAGUGAAAGGAGCUGCCAGCAAAGGGCUAAUCUUCUACAAGUGGUGACUCAUAUUUUUGUUUUUUGUAUGCUCAAUGAUUCUUUGGCACUUCUUACUUUGGCAUUUAAUUAACUACCAUACAUUUGAUUUGUGGUGAUAUUUGGCUGAUUCUGUUUAUUUGCUUUCUCGGGAAACAGAGGAAGAGGAAGAAAAAGUAAAAAUGGGCAUCCAACAUUCAAAAACUUUUAUGCUCUUAUUCUCUGUUUUAGAAACACUUGCUUUGGUCUCUAUCAAAAGCAAUCAAUUCCUCAAUUGUUGUUAGGGUCACCCUAAAUUGUGUAAUGAUCUGUUGUUAAUAUUUGCUUUUUUAUUAAUUUUUUGUCUUCAUGUGUUUU